CAGUCGCCGCGGUAAAACGAGGGGGGCAAGCGUUGUUCGGAAUUAUUGGGCGUAAAGGGUGCGUAGGCGGUUUGAUAAGUCAUCUGUGAAAUCUAUGGGCUCAACCCAUAGUCUGCAGGCGAAACUGGGAAACUUGAGUGCAGAAGAGGAGAGUGGAAUUCCACGUGUAGCGGUGAAAUGCGUAGAGAUGUGGAGGAGCACCAGUGGCGAAGGCGACUCCCUGGUCUGUAACUGACGCUGAGGAGCGAAAGCGUGGGGAGCGAACAGGAUUAGAUACCCGUGUAGUCCCUGUCUCUUAUAC
This 301-nucleotide ribosomal RNA is filed under the name uncultured bacterium. RNAcentral's name for it is "partial 16S ribosomal RNA". It matches the Rfam family "Bacterial small subunit ribosomal RNA", at positions 509 to 807 of the family's 1533-position model. The record is from RNAcentral.